CCUACGGGAGGCAGCAGUGGGGAAUAUUGCACAAUGGGGGAAACCCUGAUGCAGCGACGCCGCGUGAGUGAAGAAGUAAUUCGUUAUGGAAAGCUCUAUCAGCAGGGAAGAACAUGACGGUAACUGAGUAAGAAGCCCCGGCUAACUACGUGCCAGCAGGCGCGGUAAUACGUAGGGGGCAAGCGUUAUCCGGAUUUACUGGGUGUAAAGGGAGCGUAGACGGCAGUGCAAGGCUGGAGUGAAAGGCGGGGGCUCAACCCCCGGACUGCUCUUGAAACUGUACGGCUGGAGUGCAGGAGAGGUAAGUGGAAUUCCUAGUGUAGCGGUGAAAUGCGUAGAUAUUAGGAGGAACACCAGUGGCGAAGGCGGCUUACUGGACUGUAACUGACGUUGAGGCUCGAAAGCGUGGGGAGCAAACAGGAUUAGAUACCCGAGUAGUC
RNAcentral lists this ribosomal RNA (440 nucleotides) under uncultured bacterium. Its description in RNAcentral is "partial 16S ribosomal RNA". It matches the Rfam family "Bacterial small subunit ribosomal RNA", at positions 338 to 795 of the family's 1533-position model. The record is from RNAcentral.